Molecule: unclassified non-coding RNA, 212 nt
Filed under: uncultured Chloroflexota bacterium
Lineage: Bacteria; Bacillati; Chloroflexota
Description: uncultured Chloroflexi bacterium contains 16S-23S intergenic spacer region
Rfam family: Bacterial small subunit ribosomal RNA
Source: RNAcentral
UAGGCUUGACAUGGUGGAAGUAGGACCCCGAAAGGGGAACGACUCGUAAAGUCGAGAACCAUCACAGGUGCUGCAUGGCUGUCGUCAGCUCGUGCCGUGAGGUGUUGGGUUAAGUCCCGCAACGAGCGCAACCCUCGGCGUUAGUUACCAUGUCUAACGCGACUGCCGGUUUCAAACCGGAGGAAGGUGGGGAUGACGUCUCUAGGAGGGUG